Molecule: ribosomal RNA, 253 nt
Filed under: uncultured bacterium
Lineage: Bacteria
Description: partial 16S ribosomal RNA
Rfam family: Bacterial small subunit ribosomal RNA
Source: RNAcentral
UACGAAGGGGGCUAGCGUUGCUCGGAAUUACUGGGCGUAAAGGGCGCGUAGGCGGAUAGUUCAGUCGGGGGUGAAAGCCCGAGGCUCAACCUCGGAACUGCCUUCGAUACUGGCUAUCUUGAGUACGGGAGAGGUGUGUGGAACUCCGAGUGUAGAGGUGAAAUUCGUAGAUAUUCGGAAGAACACCAGUGGCGAAGGCGACACACUGGCCCGUUACUGACGCUGAGGCGCGAAAGCGUGGGGAGCAAACAGG